RNAcentral lists this ribosomal RNA (442 nucleotides) under uncultured bacterium. Its description in RNAcentral is "partial 16S ribosomal RNA". It matches the Rfam family "Bacterial small subunit ribosomal RNA", at positions 338 to 795 of the family's 1533-position model. The record is from RNAcentral.
CCUACGGGUGGCAGCAGUGGGGAAUAUUGGGCAAUGGGCGCAAGCCUGACCCAGCAACGCCGCGUGAAGGUAGAUGGCUUUCGGGUUGUAAACUUCUUUUAAGCGGGAAGAGCAGAAGACGGUACCCCUUGAAUAAGCCACGGCUAACUACGUGCCAGCAGCAGCGGUAUUACGUCGGAGGCAAGCGUUGUCCGGAUUUACUGGGUGUAAAGGGCGUGCAGCCGGAAGGACAAGUCAGAUGUGAAAUCCACGGGCUCAAGCCGUGAACUGCAUUUGAAACUGUUUCCCUUGAGUGUCGGAGAGGUAAUCGGAAUGCGUUGUGUAGCGGUGAAAUGCGUAGAUAUAAGGAAGAACACCAGUUGCGAAGGCGGAUUACUGGACGAUAACUGACGGUGAGGCGCGAAAGCGUGGGGAGCAAACAGGAUUAGAUACCCCUGUAGUC